GACGAACGCUGGCGGCGUGCUUAACACAUGCAAGUCGAACGGUGAACGAGGGAGCUUGCUCCCUCCGGAUCAGUGGCGAACGGGUGAGUAACACGUGAGCAAUCUGCCCCGAACUCUGGGAUAAGCGUUGGAAACGACGUCUAAUACCGGAUACGACGCGGGAGGGCAUCCUCUCCGCGUGGAAAGAACUUCGGUUCGGGAUGAGCUCGCGGCCUCUCAGCUUGUUGGUGAGGUAACGGCUCACCAAGGCGACGACGGGUAGCCGGCCUGAGAGGGUGACCGGCCACACUGGGACUGAGACACGGCCCAGACUCCUACGGGAGGCAGCAGUGGGGAAUAUUGCACAAUGGGCGGAAGCCUGAUGCAGCAACGCCGCGUGAGGGACGACGGCCUUAGGGUUGUAAACCUCUUUUAGCAGGGAAGAAGCGAAAGUGACGGUACCUGAAGAAAAAGCACCGGCUAACUACGUG
This 470-nucleotide ribosomal RNA is filed under the name uncultured bacterium. RNAcentral's name for it is "partial 16S ribosomal RNA". It matches the Rfam family "Bacterial small subunit ribosomal RNA", at positions 28 to 507 of the family's 1533-position model. The record is from RNAcentral.